Molecule: ribosomal RNA, 518 nt
Filed under: uncultured bacterium
Lineage: Bacteria
Description: bacterial SSU rRNA
Rfam family: Bacterial small subunit ribosomal RNA
Source: RNAcentral
AGAGUUUGAUUCUGGCUCAGGAUGAACGCUAGCUACAGGCUUAACACAUGCAAGUCGAGGGGCAGCAUUGGAGUAGCAAUACUUCAGAUGGCGACCGGCGCACGGGUGAGUAACACGUAUCCAACCUGCCGCUUACUCGGGGAUAGCCUUUCGAAAGAAAGAUUAAUACCCGAUGGUAUAAAGAGUUCGCAUGUUCUCUUUAUUAAAGAAUUUCGGUAAGCGAUGGGGAUGCGUUCCAUUAGAUAGUUGGCGGGGUAACGGCCCACCAAGUCUACGAUGGAUAGGGGUUCUGAGAGGAAGGUCCCCCACAUUGGAACUGAGACACGGUCCAAACUCCUACGGGAGGCAGCAGUGAGGAAUAUUGGUCAAUGGACGAGAGUCUGAACCAGCCAAGUAGCGUGAAGGAUGACUGCCCUAUGGGUUGUAAACUUCUUUUAUAAGGGAAUAAAGUGAGGGACGUGUCCCUUUUUGUAUGUACCUUAUGAAUAAGGAUCGGCUAACUCCGUGCCAGCAGCCGC